UCAGGACGAACGCUGGCGGCGUGCUUAACACAUGCAAGUCGAGCGGUAAGGCCCUUCGGGGUACACGAGCGGCGAACGGGUGAGUAACACGUGAGCAACCUACCCUCAACUUUGGGAUAAGCCUAGGAAACUGGGUCUAAUACCGGAUAUCACUGCCUGCUUCAUGGUGGGUGGUUGAAAGCUUUUGCGGUUGGGGAUGGGCUCGCGGCCUAUCAGCUUGUUGGUGGGGUAAUGGCCUACCAAGGCGUCGACGGGUAGCCGGCCUGAGAGGGCGACCGGCCACACUGGGACUGAGACACGGCCCAGACUCCUACGGGAGGCAGCAGUGGGGAAUAUUGCGCAAUGGGCGAAAGCCUGACGCAGCAACGCCGCGUGAGGGAUGACGGCCUUCGGGUUGUAAACCUCUUUCAGCAGGGACGAAGCGAGAGUGACGGUACCUGCAGAAGAAGGACCGGCCAACUACGUGCCAGCAGCCGCGGUAAUACGUAGGGUCCGAGCGUUGUCCGGAAUUAUUGGGCGUAAAGGGCUCGUAGGCGGUUUGUUGCGUCGGGAGUGAAAACUCGGAGCUUAACUCCGAGCUUGCUUCCGAUACGGGCAGACUAGAGGUAGGCAGGGGAGAGCGGAACUCCUGGUGUAGCGGUGGAAUGCGCAGAUAUCAGGAAGAACACCGGUGGCGAAGGCGGCUCUCUGGGCCUAUUCUGAC
Molecule: ribosomal RNA, 703 nt
Filed under: Kribbella sp. L2526
Lineage: Bacteria; Bacillati; Actinomycetota; Actinomycetes; Propionibacteriales; Kribbellaceae
Description: bacterial SSU rRNA
Rfam family: Bacterial small subunit ribosomal RNA
Source: RNAcentral